GGCAGUGAGACUGCGGGGGAUAAGCUUCGUAGUCGAGAGGGAAACAGCCCAGAUCAUCAGCUAAGGCCCCUAAGUGUGCGCUAAGUGGGAAAGGAUGUGGAGUCGCGGUGACAACCAGGAGGUUGGCUUAGAAGCAGCCAUCCUUGAAAGAGUGCGUAAUAGCUCACUGGUCAAGUGAUUUCGCGCCGACAAUGUAGCGGGGCUUAAGCGUACCGCCGAAGCUGUGGCAGCAACACGUAUGCUGGCGUCAUUGAAUGAUUGUUGGUGUGUUGUUGGGUAGGGGAGCGUCCUGCAUGAGGUGAAGCCUGGGGGGAACCUCUGGUGGAUUGUGUGGGAGUGAGAAUGCAGGCAUGAGUAGCGAAUCUGCGGUGAGAAUCCGCAGCGCCGAUUGACUAAGGGUUCCAGGGCUAGGUUUAUCCGCCCUGGGUUAGUCGGGUCCUAAGGCGAGGCCGACAGGCGUAGUCGAUGGAUAACCAGUUGAUAUUCUGGUACCGCCUAGCAACCGUCCAAUACUGAGAUCAUCAUGCUAACCAAUUUUGCCGACCAAUGGUCAUGCCCCUCGGGGUGUGAUUGGCGGUUGGUCUUGGGACCCGGUGGUGGAGGUAAGCGUAUUAACAGGGGUGACGCAGAAAGGUAGCUGCAGUGCGCCGGUGGUUUGGCGUAUUUAAGGUUGUGGCCCGUUUCCUAGGUAAAUCCGGGAGACACGUGGGUGAGAACUGAUGAGGGACGCACGUGUGUGUGGACUUGUGGUGAUCCUAUGCUGCCGAGAAAAGCCUCGACGCGAGGGGGCAAGGCGCCCGUACCCUAAACCGACUCAGGUGGUCAGGUAGAGUAUACCGAGGCGUUCGAGUGAAUCAUGGUCAAGGAACUCGGCAAAAUUCCUCCGUAACUUCGGGAGAAGGAGGACCCCUUAGCUUCCCAGCGCCGCGCGUGCUGGUGGGGCCGGGGGGUCGCAGAGAAUAGGGAGAAGCGACUGUUUAUCAAAAACACAGGUGCGUGCGAAGCCGUAAGGCGAUGUAUACGCACUGACGCCUGCCCGGUGCUGGAAGGUUAAGAGGAACCGUCAACGCCCCUUGGGUGUGAAGCGGUGAAUUUAAGCCCCAGUAAACGGCGGUGGUAACUAUAACCAUCCUAAGGUAGCGAAAUUCCUUGUCGGGUAAGUUCCGACCUGCACGAAUGGCGUAACGACUUCU
This 1193-nucleotide non-coding RNA is filed under the name Actinomyces sp. S6-Spd3. RNAcentral describes it as "Bacterial large subunit ribosomal RNA". It matches the Rfam family "Bacterial large subunit ribosomal RNA", at positions 979 to 2012 of the family's 2925-position model. Lineage: Bacteria; Bacillati; Actinomycetota; Actinomycetes; Actinomycetales; Actinomycetaceae. The record is from Rfam by way of RNAcentral.